UUUUUUUUUUUAGUUUACAAAGUUUGUGUCAUAUCAAAAACAUUGUUAAAAUUAUUUGAUUUGAUGUGACCUUGUGGUAAAUUCAGAGAACAUUAUACAAUAAUUCAAUUACUUGUUUAUUAUUGCAUAAAAAUCAAUCCCAUUUUAUUAUUUUCUAUAUGGUAUACAUAAAGCUGAUCUUUUUGUAUGGGAAUAGGACAAAUUUUUUAGCUGAAGAAAAAGAGUACUGUAUACAUUAGAAAAAGACAAAUAAAAUAUCUUGUAACCCCACAAUAUUAUGAAAUAUAAUUUGGUGUUUUCCCACCUUCUAGGGUGGCAACCACUUCAAUAUGAGCAACCCCUUCAUGAUUGGAAAAUCUCAUGUAACUAUGUGUGUAUGUGUAUGUAUCUAAUAUGUAUACCUAUGGAUUUUCUUUUUCUUUUUCCUUUUUCCUUUUUUAGUGGGUUUUUUAUAUUAUAAUCUUUCAUUUGCGUAAUUACUUUUUGCAUUAGUCAUUUUCUGACUUUUUGGGAUUGAGCCCAUAUGUCUCUCCUUUAUAACAUAAUAAUUUUAGAAUACAUCAAUUGAAUAAUUGCUUCAUUUUUGUAUAUAAAACAAAUCGGCUUGAUGGCAAAAUGUUAACAAACAGGUGAAUCUAUAAGGACGUGACAAUUCAUUUUUACAUUUUAAUGUUUACUUUUACAUUGUUAGUUUAUUAUUAUUUACUAUUAACUUACUUUUUACUCUAAAUAAUAAAAUACUUAAAAUAUUUAUUAAAUAAUUUACAUGAUUCUAGACUCUAUUCAUCUAUCAAUUCUAUCCAUAUGAAGGAUUGAUGUUAAUAAAUCUAAAAUUUUGUUAUGUUUAUAAAUAUGUUGGUGCAUUUUUGCCAUAUUUGAAAAUGUUUGUUUUCUUUAUUAUAUGUAAUAGAUUUUUCGUAUUUAUUUGAUUAUCAUCCUUUUAUUUUUGUUAAGUAUGUUGAAUAAAUCUUAAUAUUAGUCUUUAGUUUCUUAUUUGUUUUUUCAAGCAAUUUUGUCUCUUUAAACAUGCUUUUCCUUCUUAUAAACUAUGAUAAUAUAUAUAAUAAGAAUUUAGUAGAUUAAUUAGAUUUUUCAUAAAUAAUAAAAAAAAAUUGUAAGCUCAAUACUUUUAUACAAAGUCUACAUAAAAUUAUAUAUAUAAAAAAACAAACCCAUGAUUUUGACGAUUUCUUACAUAGAAACUAAAUAGUUGUUAGAAUUAAAUUGUUAUAAAACUUAAAGUUCAAAAAUAAAAUGAUUAUAAAUUAAAGUUUAAAGAUAAAAUUGUCAAAUUUUCUUUUUAUAAAUAUUAAGGAGGAAAAUAGAUUUUUCUUAAAAAGAAAAAAUCUAAAAAGUAAAAAGGGUAGAAGCAAUUCUCUUAAUUGAACUCUUGGAUAUGAAACUAUAAGUAGUUUUGAAGCCACCCUUAAAAUAGUUGAAUAUUAGAUUUAAAUAUGUGGGGACAAAAGACCACUAAUUUCUUUGAAAUUAAAAAGGGGCCGAUAAGAAUAGGCUUUGAAAUUCAAACUAUUUAUUAAUGAGUUCUUUUUCUAAGUUUGGUAGAAAUUAAUACUAAGCUCAUGAAGCAUCUUUUUUGACCAACGAAAAAUCAAAUCAACAAUUCUUCUAAUAAAUUAAUCAAUUUGUACAAAUUUGAUCAAGGUUUUUCUGUUGUUCAAUUUUAGGUGACAAAAUUCAUACGUAAUUAAUUUGUAUGGUGCGAUUAGACCUUAUCCUUUUAAGGUCAAUAAUAUCGACAUCCAAAACCUUUUUAUAAGUAUGCAAAUUUUUAAAAUUUCAACUAAUUAAAUAAAUAUGUUUAUAAUUUGCGUUGAUCAAAUUAGCACGCAUAUUUUUAAAAUUUGUUAUUUUUCUUAUAAAUUUAUUUGGGACGUUUAUGAAAUAUUUAGAUAAACAAGUGCAAGUUAUAUAUAUAAUACAAAUAUUUAUACUCUAGUGUUUCACUUUAAACACAAACUUCUAUUUGUUAAUUGUAACUAAUAAUUCUCAUAUUUCACAUUGUUUUUAAAGUUAUAGUUAUGUUCUCUUAAUUAGGAUAAUUCUCAUAUUUCACAUUGUUUUUAAAAGCUAUGUUCUCUUAAUUAGGUAGACAUUUAGAUGACAAAUGAAUCAAGUUGACAUAUUAAUAUUAUUUUUUAAAAUUUUAUAAUAUUGACCCUUUCAUAUUUCAACGCUAAAAGUUAUCAUUUUUCUUUCUAAAAAAAUCAAUCACAAUUAAUAAAAGGUUGAAGAUCAACACUCAAUUAUUAUACAUAUACACAUAAAAUAGGAUUAAUUUGAAACAAUUUAGAAUCUAUCCUAAGUUGAUUUGAUCGUAUAUUAAACUUUAAAGAAAAAAAAAUUGAUGGUUGAGAUGAAAAGGUUAGUAUUUAUUUAUUAUAGGCAUGAAGAGUCAAGAUCCCCCAAAUGUUGAUUAAAGAAAUAAUUAACAAUUAAGAAAUCAAAGUGAUAUUUUGAUUUAAAAAAGAAAAAUAAAGAAUAAAAAAAGUCAUGGUAUGUUAAUUAAUACACGUGGUCCAACCAAAAACACGUUGGGUGGGGCUUACUAAAACUACGAAAGGGUGUGGCGACCCAUGCAUUCUGGGACACGUGUUUCAAUAUGAUUUGAAGUACACAUGCAGGUACAUCUUGUGUACGUACGUCAGUCUAAUUAUUGAGACAGAUUCAAUUUAUAUAAUUUAAAUUAACAAAAUAAAUAAUUCAUUCAUCAUUUUCUUUUUUUAUAAAUUAAAAUCAACUUUUACCCUUCCUAUUCCCAAAGAAAUAUAAAUGGGUUAAACUCUAUUAACCUUUUUUUUUUUAAUAGUUCAGAUAUUAUUUCCAAUAAAUUAAAAUUUUCUAUCAACUUUAGGCUGCACUUUUAUAUUUCUACUGUUUAUGUCAGCAUAUUCUUAUAAUCUUUGUAUUCAUUUCAUAUUCUUAUAUACAUGGGUCGUUUAUGUAUGUUAUUAUUAUUAAUAAUGAAAGAUUAGUUUGACUAAACUAAAAUUUAAGGAGGUUAGUAAUAGAAAAUUGUUAGGGUUGGAAAAGUAUAUAUUAGACAUAAUAAUGCUCGAGGUUUGAAUGAAAUGUAUAUACUCAUAAAAAUAUAUUGAUUAGAUUAGAAAAAGAAAUGUGAGUGAGAUGAGAUAAUGGAUUACAGCAGGGAGAGUGUGUGACAAUGAACGAAGAUUUUGGAGUCACGUGAAAUAAAGUAUUAAUUAAUUACUUUCAAUCAAUUAAUUAAUACUAAUAAUUGAGAUAUAAAGUAAAACAGGCAGAGCCAGUUGGUAUUGUAUUCCUUCCAUUUUCAUUCUCUCCUUCAUUUCUAUAUAUACAAAAUCAAUUUGUUUUAUUCAAAGUAUUAGUUUUGUAUCGAUGUGUCAACACUUUCUUUUAUAUAUGAGUUCAACAUUGACAUAAAAAUGAAAUCGGUAUUUUUAUUAUGUUGUAAAGAAUUCAUGAAACAUGGAAUAAUAAAUUGUUAAUCAAACACAUAAUACACUUACAAUUUAUUUAAGAAGCAUGUUAGACUUCUUUCUAACUACAUUUUUCUUUUGUAAAAUUGAAUAUUACGGGUUUUCUAAUAUAACAAAAAAAAAAAAAAUCAAUUUGUCAUUUUAAAUUUUACUGUAUUUAUAAAUAUAUAGGUGAUAUUGUUGAAAGAAUUUUAUUUUCAUUUAGAUUUGGAAAAGUCAAGUUGAUAUAGAAAACUCUUCAUCAAUUGUACUCUUUGUCAAGAAAGAAAAAAGGAACAAAUAUUAUGAGCUGUCGAAGGAAAGAUAUUUACCAAAUUGAAGAUGAGAUAAUUUUUCACGUCUUUAUUGGUUUUUUUCUGAGAUUUGAAAAUGUAAUAUUUGUUUGAGUGUUAAUUGACUUUACAGUAUUGGUUUCCUUAAUUAGAAAUGUGUAUGUGACAUUUCUUCCAAUUGAAUUCUUACAUAUACAUCACUUAUAAACAAUAGCUACCAUUUUAGAUUAGAUUAUUAGUUUCAUUUAAGUUUAAUUGUUAUCUUUUUCUUUUAUCAUCAUUAUUGUUAUUAUUAUUUCAUUUUGUUUUCAACAUUCUCUUGAACAAACAUUAGAAUAAUUGAACAAACAUUAGAAUAAUUACAAUGGAUAGUAAUAUUAUUAGAGAUAAUAAUAUAUAAGAGUAUAUAGCAACAUUUUUUAAAAAAUUGUAUAGAUAUAUAUGCUAUAUUUUAAAAGAUUACUAUCUAUGCUAGUAUUGUAUCCAAUGCUAAAUAACUUUUUAAAUAAAUAUUUACAAAACUUCAAAAAUUAAUUUAAUUCAUUUAACAAGUGAAUGGUCUUUUUUUUCAUGAAUACACAUUUUAAAUAUCAUUUUUGAUUUUGUAGUUUGAGCUUUCGUUAAUUUUAGUUCAUGUAUUCUCAAUAAAGAUAUUUAAAUUUAGUAUAUCAAAAUUGAUUAAUUAACAACAACAACAACGUUCAUAUAAACACAUAAGAGACAAUAUUGUUACCAAUUUUACAGCAAAAAUACCAAUGAGCAACAACUUUUUUCUUAAAAAGGAAUUCAGCAAGAAACUAUAAAGUAAAUUUAAGAUUGAUUAAGAGUACACCUACUAAAAAAUUAAAUCCUUCAAGUACAUCUUAAAAGUGAUAGAGUAAGUUAAUUAAAAACAAAUUUUUGACAAAUCAUAAAAUUUCCUAGGAAAACUCUAAAAGCUAAAAAGGUUGUGGACUUUGAAAUUGAAGAAGAAAAUAAAGUAAAAAAAAGAAAAAAGUAUAUAAUUAAACCCAUGAGCCACGUUUCAUUUCUAUAAUUUAGUUGAAUAUUAGCAAAUUAAAAAUGGCAUAAAACUUAUGGGGUUGUAUGUGUAAUUAAUGAUUUUAAAAAUGGUUUAAUUUACUUGAAAAAAACAUCUCGAGUGAGUGAAUAAGUCAACUUUGACAAUAAGCAAUCCAAAGAUGACCAAAUUCUAAUUAAUUAGUUAAACUAUAUAUUGAACUUCCCAAGGUGUUUGCUUCUGUGAAUAAAUUAUGCUUAUAUAUUAGCCAAUUAAAACCAUAGCAAAUAGCUUUUUUUGUAUUGUAUUGUCCAAAUAUAUAUAUAUAUAUGUAUGGAAAAAUUAAUGUACUAAAGUUUUGGAUCGGGUGCAAUGCUACAUGUCCUACUCACUUUUUUAAAAAAUUAUUGAAUUGAUUAAAAAAAAAAUUAUAUAGUUGACUUUUUAUAAACUCAAGAAGUAUUUGAAGGGUUAGUGAUCUUAUGUAAACUAGGGUUAUAUUCAACUUAGCUAACUAAGGUGUCAAUCUUCGAUUACGAUAUUGAUGAUUUGAAUAUCUCAUUUUGACAUAUUAUUAAAUUUGUGGGGAAAAAAAAUAUACUUAUAUAUUUAGUACAUAAAAUAUAUGUUUAUCUCAUGCUACACAAAAAAAAUUAAAAUUAUGUAAUACUAAUGGUUAAAUUUUUUAAAUGUGAUUACUAAAUUUAAUUUGGUUAAAGAAUUAUAUAUAUAUAUAGUUGUUUUUGAGUUUAUUGUUGUUGUGAAUCUUCAUCCUCAAGUUAUUGUUAAAUUUCUUAUUUCUAUUUUUUUAAUCUUAAAUAUUAACUUAUAAAUUAGAAAAUUUAAGACUCGUUUAAUAAAUACUUCCGAUUUGAUUCUUAGUAAUUCCGUUGUUAAACAUUAAAAUAGUUUAAGUUGUAUUGUCAAUUACUUUGCAUAUUAUCCUUUCAAUUUAGGUGUCAUGAGUUCAAUUUUAUUAUUAAAGUUAUAUAUAUGUUUGUAUUUUUAAAAAGGUAUAUUAUUGGGUGAAAUUUAUUGUAAAAUUGACAAGAAAAUUAUAAAAAUAGAGUUGACUUGAAUUUAAAAAUGGAUUUAUAUUAUAUGUAUAAUGUGAAAUUUUGAGGAGAGGUAUCAAUCCGAUGUAGCAAAAAGCUGAGAAUUAACUUAAUGCAUGAAUGAUAGUGAAUAUAAUCAUCAUUUGACAUUUUCUUUUCUCUUUUUAAUAAAUCAUUUGACAUUUUUUUUGUCUUCACCAAAAACUUUGACGAACUUUAUUAAUUAUAAAAUUAAUGAAAAUCAAAAUUCAACUCAUUAACUUGCAAGCUUUAUUUGAUUAAAUUACACGCCAUUAAUCUAUUAUAUAUUUAAAUAUGUUUGUAUGUAUAUGUGUAUAUCCAAUCCAAUUCCUGGAUAGAUCCAAACAAACUUAAUUCAAAUUUGUGAGGAUUGAGUUGAAUUACAAAACAAUUACAAAAGUCACUAUAUUUAUUUUAGUUCUUGAUUUUUCAAGUUUUUAUAUGUAUAGAAAUUAUCAAAAUCAAUAUUUUCAAAGUACACUGUGUAAAUAAAAUAAAGUAUAUAAUCGUAUUUUGCUUUCGUUUAGGUCAACAAUUAAUUUUGUUAUCAAAUGUUAUAGUGUUUAUCAAAUGAGAUUAUACUUAAAUUGAAAUAUUAAUCAAAUUAUCUAUUGAUUAACGACACGUUACUUUCUAGUUUAUUUGGUGUCAAUACAUUUUUAAUUACUUAAUGUUUACAAUACGAGUUAAAAUUAAUUUUAGACUGAAAUUGGAAAAUAAUUUAUUCUCGAAUAAGCUUGAGUUAUAUCAAUCCAACUAUAUAUGUUUUUAGUGAAGGUGAGUUUAGCUUGAUUUAAUCCACUGUUCUCGUAAUUUCUUUUUAUAGAAAAUAUGCCAUAUACUUCUAACUUUCAUUUAACUUUGUUUAAUCCGUAAUUACCCCUAUAGGCCCAAGCCCAACGCUCUUAUCCAAAAGACCAAAGGCCCAAUACUUUUCAACUCACACCCUUAAGUUUCAACCCACUUUUCAUAUCCAAAAAAAAAAAAAGAAAAAAGAAAGAGAAAAAAAUCACUCACUUUAGACCUAUUUUACACAAAGUAUCUAAAAACUUUUCGAAAAUUUUAAAAAAUAGUAGAUUUUACAAAAUAUUUACAACAUAUAGCAAAUCCUAUCGGUGAUAGUCAUAUAUGCUAUAGUGAUAUAGUGAUAGAACACUAUCGGAAUAAAAUCUAAAAUUUUAGCUUGUAAAUAUUUUAAUUUAUUAUUUUAUUUUUAAAAAUAUCCCAAAACUUUGUUUAUUUAUUAGUUAAGAUUUGGUCGAACCAUUUUAUGUUUGUAACAAUUAUAAAUACAAUUUAUUUUUUGAAAAUUCAUAUAAUAGAAUACCAUAGUUAUAUUAUAUCACAUUUAGCAUCUUUCAUAAUUAAUAUAAUAAAUAAUUCAGAUUUAUAUUUGAUUUAAUAUUAGGAUAUGAUACUUCAUUUUAAUAUGACAUCAAGUUGGAUCUAAUAUGGUAAUAAUAUAUUAAUUAAUUUCUACAUUCUUUCACCUUACCGACGUCUAUUAAAACAUUUAUAAAAAAAUUGGCAACACUAGAUUCAACUUGUAAUGAGACCGCUAUUUAGUCCGACGUCUAUUAGGACAUUUAUGAAAAUUUGGGAAUGCUAGGUGAGACACCCCUAGUUAGGUUAUAGUAGUUAAAAUCCAAAAAAUAAUUAUAUAAAAAAAUUAAAAUAAAGAUCUUCAAAGUAUAGCAAACUCUAUCGUCGUUAAACCAAUAUUUGUAUUAAUAGUCUAUCAAUGAUAGACUCAUAUUGUAGAGUACUAGAGUGAGCAUGGUCAAGUUUUUGAAAAAUGCAUACAAAAUAAAGACCAAUUUAUAUAAUCAUUCUACAUGGAUAAAAAAAUGUUAAUUUAAAGAAAUUGAUAAAUUGUUAUAAGUUACCCUCUGAUAGGCACCGUGUGGAAAUUCAAAAGGGAAAAUUGUUAGGGAAGCAGUAAUGGCAUAUUGGGUCGAAGCUUUGGAGCGUUAAACUCAAAACAAAAAAAAACACAAAAUUGAUAUUAGCAUUGCUUCCUAUAAUUUAAGCAAUGAAAAAACAAAUAAUACAUCUUCAUCAUUUUAAAUUAUAGGUUAAACCAAAAGAAUUUACAAUAGGAAGAAAAAUAAGGUGAAAACUGGAAAGAUGGAUCCAGAUUAUUGACGUCCAAAGAGUAAAAGAGUACACAAACCAUUAGAAAGGUGGUCGAGACAAUAAGAGUAGAUACGAAAUCCAGAGUCUUAAAAGACAUUAUAGAAAUUAGAGAAGAAGAUGGUAACGCCGCUCGCUAUCUGCACCGACACCAUUCUUGAAAUCGACCGACGAAGAAGAAGGCUCGGUGAAAAGAGAUGGCUGGAAAAUUACUUCCACUUCUUGAAUUUUCCUCCGCCAAACAUCCCGUGUUUCCCAUGUUUGUGUUUCCCAAACUUUCCGUGCUUGAACUUCCCAUGGUGCUUGAAUUUUCCACCGUGACCGUGACCAUGACCAUAAUGAGCAACACCAUGGGGGUA
This 8319-nucleotide long non-coding RNA is filed under the name Cucumis sativus (cucumber). RNAcentral describes it as "long non-coding RNA (CSAT_LNC001416)". Lineage: Eukaryota; Viridiplantae; Streptophyta; Magnoliopsida; Cucurbitales; Cucurbitaceae. The record is from RNAcentral.